UUAAUUUCAGUGCGUGAAAAUACGAGUAGAUGUACAUACUUUUCAUCUAUAUUAUUUAGGUAUGUACCUACUCGAAAUGGUGAAGUUUAUUUUCGUGAUUUUGAUUUCGAGUUUCUCAAUCCAAAGUUAUUUUAGCAGCUUCAGCUUCGGAUGCAACAAAUACCAGUACCCAAAGUACUUAUGAUUUAUUGAAAACGACAGAUGAGCUCAAAAAACGAUGCAUAAUCUACAAACAAUCUUCACUUUGAGCGAUUGCUCUAGAAAAAUUGGAACCUGUGUAAAGUGAAUUCAAUUCAAAUAUCUCAACUAGAAAUCCAGCAAGCCAUUAAUAGGAUGAACGUACGGUAACAACUAUAGCAGUGUUUUUCGAAUGGCUUCUAACAUCAAAAUGAAUAUUUACUUGCUAAUUCGAUGAAUAUUUCGCAUCCAUUUCGAAAUGGUCGUAUGUCAAAAUUCGCAGAUGUUUUGCGACAAGAAUUUCCUGAAUUUGAUAAUAAAAGGCUCAUUGAAAGAAGGACAAGGAGAUCCCGGAUUCUUGGCAGCCAAUAUGUUGUGUUCCUUGUUAGAGCAAGUAUGCACCCUGCAGAAGAAAAUUGACAAGAUAGAUGAAGGCAAAAUCGAUCACACUAUGAAAAUAGUAAAGGUACGCACAAUUCAGAGUGAGAGAGAUAGAAUGAUCUCAAGAUCACCUUGAAAGAUGAAAAUAUGCCAAGAAUGAACAAUUUUCACCAUUCAAGGCUAAAAAUAUGAAUCCAGAUGCCAAACUUCCUAAUCACCCUGUAUACUGUGUAGGCACUCUCGAGUCCAAAAUACACGUUGGAUUUAUCGCUUU
Planococcus citri (citrus mealybug) is the source of this 832-nucleotide long non-coding RNA. RefSeq lists it as uncharacterized. Lineage: Eukaryota; Metazoa; Arthropoda; Insecta; Hemiptera; Pseudococcidae. The transcript is spliced from 2 exons. The record is from RefSeq and is a predicted model, not a curated record.